UAAUACAUGUCUAUGUUUUUUUCCUCUGCCCCUUAGACUUUAUUCUAGCUGUUUAGAGUUUUAUUUUGAAAAUAAUUGUUUUGUUUCCGCCGGUGACGUCACUCACGCCCUUUUUUCAAAAGAUUUUUUUGUUUUUUUCCACGGCUAAUGGGAGAAAAACAAGUGAAGUUGAGCAGCUGGAGCUCGCGAAGUACAAUUAACGGAAUUAUUUGCUAUGAACAGUUAUAGUUGUUCAACUUUUAAAGAGUUGGAUCGUUUAUCUUUUAAACAUGCCAGAAAUUCCUCCAAAACAAGAGCGGAAAGGCGGGAUCUGAGGUCGCACGCGGACGCUGAGUUCAGAGGGAAAACAGGGAUGUGAUGGCUGACAGUGGAAGACUGGUGUCUUCAGAAGGAAAGGGGGUCCGCUCCACCUGGUUAAAGGACGACUCCCUGUGGCACAGCACUCCUGUCAAGCAGAGGACCGAUGGCUCCAGUCAGCCGUCAGGACUGACCGGCAUCCAGAUGGACAGAAGUACAAACUCCGGGUUCAGGUCCUCUUCUUUGGAUCCACCAGACUCUCACCUUCUUCGUUUGCAAGAACCGAAGCUCCCUGUGAACGAUGUGAGCAGCUCCACCAUCCAGAGGCAGAGGAGGGAGAUCCAGCUGCUGAUGGAGGAGCUGAAGGACAGAGAGGUGGAGCUGAACUCCAUGGCGACCUCCCAUCACAAGCAGCAUCAGGCCUGGGAACAAGACCGCCAGCGUGUGCUGGUGUUAGAGCAGAGGUGUGCACGCUUACAUGAGGAGCUGCAGAAACGGAACGAGCUGAUCAGAGCUCUGACCGCACGCAUGCUGGCCGUGGAGAGCAGAGAAGAGGAGGCGCAGGAGGAGCUGAGGGCAGCCCGGCUGCAGCUCUGUGGUCUGGAGCAGGAGCAGCGGGAACUCAGACAACGAUGUCGGGACUUUGAGGAGAAGAACCAGACUCUCAGCUCCACUGCCACGGCGCUGUCCACCCAGCUGGGCUCUCUGCAGGCCAGAGAGGAGGAGCUGAGCUCCAUGCUGAAGCUGAAGGAGAACGACGCGACCGAAGCCUCGGCUCGGGUUCGGAGCCUCUCUGGACGCCUCCGAGACGUGGAGCUGCUCCUGACGGAGAGCCAAUCACAGGAGAGCAAACUCCUGAGAGACGUGGAGGAUCACAGACGGCGUUCCAAAGACGCCAAACAGGAAGCCUCACAGCUCAGAGAUCAGCUGCAGCAGCAGGCGGUGCAGAGCAGCACUCAGAGGGAGGAAACCAUCCGACUGAAGCAGGAGCUGCAGCUUCUUCACAGAGACCUGCUGCUCACAGGAGAGGGCGACAGCUGGAAAGAUGAGCUGCUGAUUUGUGCCGGUCUAAACAGGAGCGGAUCACGGCAGAACUUCACCACCUGAGGCAGGUGUGUGAGAAUCAGCGGAACGAGCUGCAGCUUUUGGGUCUGAACCAGGGAAGACGUCCAGAAGAUCUCAGGCAGAAGACCAGCGAGAGGUGAAUGAUGCGAUUCCGUGAGGAGCGGACGUGUCGAUGUGGGAACCGUCCGUCGUCUUCAUCACCUCCACCUGUGGAGGAUCCUCCUCAGGCAGCAGAUCCACAAGUCUGUGAUCUGGGAGGAUUUUCUGCUCAUUUCAUGCAGG
Oryzias melastigma (Indian medaka) is the source of this 1644-nucleotide RNA transcript. It is a transcript of the gene named coiled-coil domain containing 62, with no coding region annotated. Lineage: Eukaryota; Metazoa; Chordata; Actinopteri; Beloniformes; Adrianichthyidae. The transcript is spliced from 12 exons. The record is from RefSeq and is a predicted model, not a curated record.